UUGAUGUGUUACGGGUUUUGUUGUUUGUGUUACAGAUAAGUAGCAUCUUCCGCAGAUCCAUGCGAAGAAAAAAUACAGUAAUUGGGGACCAGUAACGUUCUGGAUCUAAUGCAGUUACAACUUUCAAGAGCACAUUGCAAUCUGGUUUCUUACCCAUUUUAUACAGGCUAGGGAGCUAGCCUUUGCAGAUAUGGGAUAAAGAAGUCAAAUAUUAGAUAAGCCAUCAGAGAAUGUCUGCUUCCGCACCGCAAAUUUUGAGAUGACAAUUGUAACAAAAAUGGUUCAAAGUCAGCUUUCUGGAACAAGUUGUCUGGGCUUCUACAGGCAAGUUGCACAACUGACCAGUUAUGUAUAACGAAGAAGCAUUUGUUGUCCAUCAUAUGACCUCGGUGCCAGAGGCUAAGCAACGCAAGGCUGGUGUUGUAUCUGUUUGGGUCAGAGAACCUUAAAAAGAUGCUUCUUGAAUAUUUUGGGCUUUGAGGAAUAUGUUAUUACUAUGGAUUAUGUAAGAAUUUAUAUUUUAGACAUAGGUGGAGUUCUGACCAAUGUAAUGGGAGAAUUCAAAAGCAAGCUUUUGUUUACUGGGGUGAGUUUUAAAUCACCUAAAUUACACACCAGACCAGUUCUAUUUUGGAGUUGAGCUAUAAAUUCAUUGCACCCAUAUAUAUAUGUACGUAAAAAUUUGUCUAAUUUAAUCACGUGGUAGUUUUUACUCUUACUUGAAUAACUUUUUUAAUCAUUACCAGGUUGUACUUGAAGGCAAAUGGAAAGAAGGUUACCUAGCAAUGGCUCCAGUAGGUGCAACAAAUGUAGGGUAGGGAUGAGCUUAGUACCGAAAAUCCCCAAAAGUAUGUCCACUUCUUCAUUAGUUUAUGUAAUACAGUAUUUUUUUUCUAUUUAAUCUAUUUAUAUAUUUAU
This 918-nucleotide long non-coding RNA is filed under the name Helianthus annuus (common sunflower). RNAcentral describes it as "sRNA HanXRQr2_Chr01g0035561". Lineage: Eukaryota; Viridiplantae; Streptophyta; Magnoliopsida; Asterales; Asteraceae. The record is from RNAcentral.